UACGAAGGGUGCAAGCGUUAUUCGGAAUCAUUGGGCGUAAAGCGCGCGCAGGUCGGAUUUGUAAGUCAGGUGUGAAAUCUCGGGGCUCAACCUCGAAACUGCGCCUGAAACUACAAGUCUAGAAUGUCGGAGGGGGCAGGGGAAUUUCACGUGUAGGGGUAAAAUCCGUAGAGAUGUGAAGGAACACCGGAGGCGAAGGCGCCUGCCUGGACGACUAUUGACGCUGAGGCGCGAAAGCGUGGGGAGCAAACAGGAUUAGAAACCCCU
RNAcentral lists this ribosomal RNA (267 nucleotides) under uncultured bacterium. RNAcentral describes it as "partial 16S ribosomal RNA". It matches the Rfam family "Bacterial small subunit ribosomal RNA", at positions 524 to 788 of the family's 1533-position model. The record is from RNAcentral.